GAUGAAGAACGUAGCUAAAUGCGAUAAGUAAUGUGAAUUGCAGAAUUCAGUGAAUCAUCGAAUCUUUGAACGCACAUUGCGCCCGUCAGUAUUCUGGCGGGCAUGCCUGUUCGAGCGUCAUUACGCCCCUCAAGUCCCCUGUGGACUUGGUGUUGGGGAUCGGCGAGGCUGGUUUUCCAGCACAGCCGUCCCUUAAAUUAAUUGGCGGUCUCGCCGUGGCCCUCCUCUGCGCAGUAGUAAAACACUCGCAACAGGAGCCCGGCGCGGUCCACUGCCGUAAAACCCCCCAACUUUUUAUAGUUGACCUCGAAUCAGGUAGGACUACCCGCUGAACUUAAGCAUAUCAAUAAGCGGAGGA
Molecule: unclassified non-coding RNA, 358 nt
Filed under: soil metagenome
Description: partial contains 5.8S ribosomal RNA, internal transcribed spacer 2, and large subunit ribosomal RNA
Rfam family: 5.8S ribosomal RNA (bases 1-120)
Source: RNAcentral